Molecule: small nucleolar RNA, 132 nt
Organism: Arvicanthis niloticus (Nile rat)
Lineage: Eukaryota; Metazoa; Chordata; Mammalia; Rodentia; Muridae
Product: small nucleolar RNA SNORA17
Source: RefSeq, a predicted model, not a curated record
CCUGCCCCUAAAGGCAUUGCAGGUGUGGCUGGUGUGUCACAUGUGCAUCAGAAGGUGGCAGAGAGGAGACAGGCCGUGUCUCUGCUCAGUGUUCUGACCUGUGGACAUCUGAAUGAUUAGUAGUCUAAUAUU